CCUACGGGAGGCAGCAGUGGGGAAUAUUGGGCAAUGGGCGGGAGCCUGAACCAGCCAAGUCGCGUGAGGGAAGACGGUCCUAUGGAUUGUAAACCUCUUUAGGCGGGGAGCAAUGCCGGGCACGCGUGCCCGGAGGGAGAGUACCCGCAGAAUAAGCAUCGGCUAACUCCGUGCCAGCAGCCGCGGUAAUACGGAGGAUGCAAGCGUUAUCCGGAUUUAUUGGGUUUAAAGGGUGCGUAGGCGGUCCGGAAAGUCAGCGGUAAAAGCCCGGGGCUCAACCCCGGCGAGCCGUUGAAACUGUGUCCCUUGAGUGCGCGAAGGGUAGGCGGAAUGCGUGGGGUAGCGGUGAAAUGCAUAGAUAUCACUCAGAACUCCGAUCGCGAAGGCAGCCUACCGGCGCGCAACUGACGCUCAUGCACGAAAGCGUGGGUAUCGAACAGGAUUAGAUACCCGAGUAGUC
RNAcentral lists this ribosomal RNA (460 nucleotides) under uncultured bacterium. RNAcentral describes it as "partial 16S ribosomal RNA". It matches the Rfam family "Bacterial small subunit ribosomal RNA", at positions 338 to 795 of the family's 1533-position model. The record is from RNAcentral.